This 474-nucleotide ribosomal RNA is filed under the name Triticum aestivum (bread wheat). RNAcentral's name for it is "partial small subunit ribosomal RNA". Lineage: Eukaryota; Viridiplantae; Streptophyta; Magnoliopsida; Poales; Poaceae. The record is from RNAcentral.
AUGGGGAGUUGUUCGUCGGCCUGCGCCUUUUCUCGGUCCCAUCGAGCCGACCAGUUAAAAUCCGGACCAGACCGGAUGUUCUUUCGGACUGAUUUCACUAACCAGACCGGUCACAAAUUUUGGGCGGGCCUUCCUUCUCCGGCACGGUGCGGUCCGGUCCACGAGCGGGACCCCAAUCAUGAUGCUCCGGCGCAUCGGCGUCGGCAUGGCCAUAGCGUCCGUCGCCAUGGCUGUGGCGGCGCUGGUGGAAGCCGUGCGCCUCCGCUCGGCCAGGGACGCCGGCCUGGUCGACCGCCGGCAGGUAGCUGCGCCGCAGUUGGUGCUGAUCGAUCGGCUUCGCCAACGAGUUCACCAUCGUCGGCUUCGAGGAGUUCUCCUAUGACUAAGUGCCCGGCGCGCCACGGAGCGUCGGGCUCGCCUGAGCAUCGCGGGCGUGAGGAGCUACACCAGCGGCACGCUCGUCUCGGCGGUUGA